Molecule: ribosomal RNA, 537 nt
Filed under: Triticum aestivum (bread wheat)
Lineage: Eukaryota; Viridiplantae; Streptophyta; Magnoliopsida; Poales; Poaceae
Description: partial small subunit ribosomal RNA
Source: RNAcentral
AUGGCAACGAACCAAGAUGUCGCGGCCGAGGAGAGGACGUUGGUGGCCGAGGAGAGGAGCGUGGCGGCCGAGGAGAGGAAGGUGGGCAUGGAGGAGCGAUCUAGAUUAUUGGAUUGGGAGAAGUACUUGCUCUUCAUGGACACAUCUAUCCUUAAUGAGGCGCAAAAGGAGUAUGUCAAUCUUGCCCGUGAAGAAGUCUUGAUCCAAAAAAGAGCCAUGAUUCGCGGCAUGGGUGGCGGUGGCCUUGGCGGCAUGGGUGGUGGUGGCCUUGGCGGCAUGGGAGGCAACGAUGGCUUUGGAGCUACCAUGGGCGGCAUGGGUGUCAUGGGUGGCUUUGGAGCUACCAUGCAGACCAUGGGAGGCAUGGGUGGCUUCGGAGCACCUCCGGUCGGCAUGGUCGGUAUGGGAGGCAUGAGUUUUGCGUCUCUCAUGGGAGGCAUGGGAGCACCUCCGGGCGGCAUGGGCGGAAUGUCUUUCAGUGUGCCUCACACAUCUUUGCAUGAAGAUGCCGUUGAAAAUCUUGCAAACACCUUCUGA